AAUAGAGAGACAAUCAGUUCUCUUUCUCUCCCUUUCUCGUUCUUCAUUUCUUCAGUUUCAUCUUGAUCAAUCUGUCAAAUAGAGUAUGUUAACAUGGUAUCAGAGCAGCGAUUCUGAUUCUGCUCGUCACCGGCUUUCUUGCGAUGUUACCCUCGUCAAUUUUCAUCCGAGUUUCUCUGGUAUCUGAAAAUCUAGGGUUUUCUCAAUUGCUGGGUUUUCCGCUGCAAUUGUUUGUUUUUUUGAGGUUUCUACUUUAUCGGCUCCAUCGGUUGGAAGAGUAAGUCGAUUCCUAAGGAUUUGGAUAUCCAAGAACUGUUAGGGUUUGGAUUCGUGAAGUUUCAGGCUCGGUAAGGAUUCUCAGUCACCAAAAAUGGUUAACGUAGGUGAUAC
Molecule: long non-coding RNA, 390 nt
Filed under: Nicotiana benthamiana
Lineage: Eukaryota; Viridiplantae; Streptophyta; Magnoliopsida; Solanales; Solanaceae
Description: long non-coding RNA (NBEN_LNC014478)
Source: RNAcentral